GUACGACAGAUUAAGCACGGCNAACUCUGUGCAGCAGCCGCGGUAAUACAGAGGGUGCGAGCGUUAAUCGGAGUUACUGGCGUAAAGGGCGCGUAGGCGGUAAGAUGUGUGUGAUGUGAAAGCCCCGGGCUUAACUGGGAAGUGCAUCGCAAACUAUCUAACUGGAGUAUAUGAGAGGGUGGCGGAAUUUCCGGUGUAGCGGUGAAAUGCGUAGAGAUCGGAAGGAACGUCAAUGGCGAAGGCAGCCACNUGGCAUAAUACUGACGCUGAGGCGCGAAAGCGUGGGGAGCGAACAGGAUUAGAUACCCUGGUAGUCCACGCUGUAAACGAUGAGGACUAAAGGUUGGUAGGGGAACCUAUCAGUCUUGAAGCUAACGCGAUAAGUCUUCCGCCUGGGAAGUACGGCCGCAAGGUUGAAACUCAAAUGAAUUGACGGGGGCCCGCACAAGCGGUGGAGCAUGUGGUUUAAUUCGAUGCAACGCGAAGAACCUUACCUACCCUUGACAUCCUGCGAAUCCCGAUGAGAGUUGGGAGUGCCGAAAGGAACGCAGAGACAGGUGCUGCAUGGCUGUCGUCAGCUCGUGUUGUGAGAUGUUGGGUUAAGUCCCGUAACGAGCGCAACCCUUGUCCUUAGUUGCCAGCAUUUAGUUGGGGACUCUAAGGAGACUGCCGGUGAGGAACCGGAGGAAGGCGGGGACGACGUCAAGUCAUCAUGGCCUUUAUGGGUAGGGCUACACACGUGCUACAAUGGGGCGUACAGAGAGUCGCGAACCUGCGAAGGGGAGCCAAUCUCGUAAAGCGUCUCGUAGUCCGGAUCGGAGUCUGCAACUCGACUCCGUGAAGUUGGAAUCGCUAGUAAUCGCGAAUCAGCAACGUCGCGGUGAAUACGUUCCCGGGCCUUGUACACACCGCCCGUCACGUCAUGGGAGUGGAUGGUACCAGAAGCGGGUAGUUAACCGAAAGGGAGACGC
RNAcentral lists this ribosomal RNA (971 nucleotides) under uncultured Aquicella sp. RNAcentral describes it as "bacterial SSU rRNA". It matches the Rfam family "Bacterial small subunit ribosomal RNA", at positions 475 to 1453 of the family's 1533-position model. The record is from RNAcentral. Lineage: Bacteria; Pseudomonadati; Pseudomonadota; Gammaproteobacteria; Legionellales; Coxiellaceae.